Molecule: non-coding RNA, 246 nt
Organism: Pelobates cultripes (western spadefoot toad)
Lineage: Eukaryota; Metazoa; Chordata; Amphibia; Anura; Pelobatidae
Source: the annotation of a GenBank genome assembly
UAAUAAAGAAUUUUCUAUCUUCACGUCUGCAUAUGUUGCAAAAGAUGCCAUCGCAGAGCAGACUAAAUGGCUCUACCUUUGUGAAUUCCCUGGUUUAUAUCAAUUUUAUUUAUUUAUAUUGAUUGCCCUAUGAGUCUGUUUUCUCUUUCUAUUUGAGAUUCAUAUUGAAGCAUUGACACAAGCAAAAGGGGUUACUCCUAAGUGAGUUUAAAAAAAAAAAAAGUUUAUUUUUUUCUUAAUAUUUGC